CCAUUUUAAAAUCAUGACUCUACAUUUGAAAUUUAUGUUUACUUUGUUCUUUGCAGAAUUCAAGAUGGGAUCUCUGCUCUUAGCAUCAAGACCCUUUUUGAUGAAUGCAAAUGGUGGCUGACAGAAUGUGACUCAGAGGAAAGACUGACAGUCUACAUCAGUCUCCUGAUUUACAGCACAUUUAACUCUCCUGAGUCAACACAAAGAAAAAGAAACAGGAUAUUAGUAACGAGAAGAAAAGCCAUGUGAAUCCAUAGGGAGAAGGCAGCUGUCUGCAUACCAGGAGGAGAGCUCCCACCCGAACCCAACCAUAGUGCCACCCUGAUCUUGUACUUCCAGCCUCUCAGCUGUGAGAAAAUAAAUGUCUGUUGUUUAAGACACCCAGUUCAUGGUAUUUUGUUACAGCAGCCCAAGCAAAGUAAGACACCCCAUCCUCUCCUAUAGAGCAGUAACAUCACCAAGGUUGGGCUCUUGCUAGGGGUUUCCAAGAUCCCCUCCUGAGACCUGGCCUGUC
Molecule: long non-coding RNA, 514 nt
Filed under: Homo sapiens (human)
Lineage: Eukaryota; Metazoa; Chordata; Mammalia; Primates; Hominidae
Description: non-protein coding lnc-RTTN-4:2
Source: RNAcentral